Molecule: ribosomal RNA, 497 nt
Filed under: uncultured bacterium
Lineage: Bacteria
Description: partial 16S ribosomal RNA
Rfam family: Bacterial small subunit ribosomal RNA
Source: RNAcentral
GAUGAACGCUGGCGGCGUGCCUAAUACAUGCAAGUCGAGCGAACAGACGAGGAGCUUGCUCCUCUGACGUUAGCGGCGGACGGGUGAGUAACACGUGGAUAACCUACCUAUAAGACUGGGAUAACUUCGGGAAACCGGAGCUAAUACCGGAUAAUAUAUUGAACCGCAUGGUUCAAUAGUGAAAGACGGUUUUGCUGUCACUUAUAGAUGGAUCCGCGCCGCAUUAGCUAGUUGGUAAGGUAACGACUUACCAAGGCAACGAUGCGUAGCCGACCUGAGAGGGUGGUCGGCCACACUGGAACUGAGACACGGUCCAGACUCCUACGGGAGGCAGCAGUAGGGAAUCUUCCGCAAUGGGCGAAAGCCUGACGGAGCAACGCCGCGUGAGUGAUGAAGGUCUUCGGAUCGUAAAACUCUGUUAUUAGGGAAGAACAAAUGUGUAAGUAACUAUGCACGUCUUGACGGUACCUAAUCAGAAAGCCACGGCUAACUACGUG